RNAcentral lists this ribosomal RNA (246 nucleotides) under uncultured bacterium. RNAcentral's name for it is "partial 16S ribosomal RNA". It matches the Rfam family "Bacterial small subunit ribosomal RNA", at positions 524 to 768 of the family's 1533-position model. The record is from RNAcentral.
UACGUAGGGUGCAAGCGUUAAUCGGAAUUACUGGGCGUAAAGCGUGCGCAGGCGGUUCUAUAAGACAGAUGUGAAAUCCCCGGGCUUAACCUGGGAACUGCGUUUGAAACUGAAAGGCUAGAGUGUGGCAGAGGGGGAUGGAAUUCCGCGUGUAGCAGUGAAAUGCGUAGAUAUGCGGAGGAACACCGAUGGCGAAGGCAAUCCCCUGGGCCUGUACUGACGCUCCAUGCACGAAAGCGUGGGGAG